GCAACAUGCUAGUUCACUGACAUAAGCUUUUGGAUACGAUGUCGGGGUCACCCGUUUGUAAAGUGUCAGUGUGAUUUGAAAUUAGCACUUCGCCAGCAAGCAGUACUUUGUGGGCAGUUGUGCUAAAGUUUGCUUGCUAACAUAACGUAAACUGACUGGCAGAAACCUCG
This is a long non-coding RNA of Etheostoma spectabile (orangethroat darter), 170 nucleotides long. RefSeq lists it as uncharacterized. The record is from RefSeq and is a predicted model, not a curated record. NCBI's taxonomy places the organism in Eukaryota, Metazoa, Chordata, Actinopteri, Perciformes, Percidae. The transcript is spliced from 3 exons.